CUUACUGAAUCAUCAGAGCUGAACUGGUGAUGGAGAAACAGUGCAGAAUUAUUAGGCAAGUUGUAUUUUUGAGGAAUAAUUUUAUUAUUGAACAACAACCAUGUUCUCAAUGAACCCAAAAAACACAUUAAUAUCAAAGCUGAAUGUUUUUGGAAGUAGUUUUUAGUUUGUGUUUAGUUUUAGCUAUUUUAGGGGGAUAUCUGUGUGUGCAGGUGACUAUUACUGUGCAUAAUUAUUAGGCAACUUAACAAAAAACAAAUAUAUACCCAUUUCAAUGAUUUAUUUUUACCAGUGAAACCAAUAUAACAUCUCCACAUUCACAAAUAUACAUUUCUGACAUUCAAAAAAAA
Oreochromis aureus is the source of this 350-nucleotide long non-coding RNA. The record is from Ensembl. NCBI's taxonomy places the organism in Eukaryota, Metazoa, Chordata, Actinopteri, Cichliformes, Cichlidae.